GUUGUUGCUCAGUGGUAGAGCACUUGCCUAGCAUGUGUGAGGCACUGAGUUCAAUCCUCAGUACCACA
RNAcentral lists this transfer RNA (68 nucleotides) under Marmota monax (woodchuck). Its description in RNAcentral is "tRNA.Ala". Lineage: Eukaryota; Metazoa; Chordata; Mammalia; Rodentia; Sciuridae. The record is from RNAcentral.